This 636-nucleotide ribosomal RNA is filed under the name uncultured bacterium. RNAcentral describes it as "bacterial SSU rRNA". The stretch from base 1 to 546 matches the Rfam family "Bacterial small subunit ribosomal RNA", at positions 338 to 873 of the family's 1533-position model. The record is from RNAcentral.
CCUACGGGAGGCAGCAGUGGGGAAUUGUUCACAAUGGGCGCAAGCCUGAUGACGCAACGCCGCGUGGAGGAUGAAGGUCUUCGGAUUGUAAACUCCUGUUGCCCGGGACGAAAAGCUUCGACCUAACACGUCGAAGUCUGACGGUACCGGGUGAGGAAGCCCCGGCUAACUCUGUGCCAGCAGCCGCGGUAAUACAGAGGGGGCAAGCGUUGUUCGGAAUUACUGGGCGUAAAGGGCGCGUAGGUGGCCUUCUAAGUUGAACGUGAAAUCCCUGGGCUCAACCCAGGAACUGCGUCCAAGACUGGGAGGCUUGAAUCCGGGAGAGGGAUGCGGAAUUCCAGGUGUAGCGGUGAAAUGCGUAGAUAUCUGGAGGAACACCGGUGGCGAAGGCGGCAUCCUGGACCGGUAUUGACACUGAGGCGCGAAAGCCAGGGGAGCAAACGGGGAUUAGAUACCCCGGUAGUCCUGGCCCUAAACGAUGAAUGCUUGGUGUGGGUCGGGUAGUCGACUCCUCGCCGUCGCGACGCUACGACAUAGACAUCCGCCGUGGGAGGUACGGUCGCGAGGCGNGUAACGUACGAAAGUUAAAGUUAGUACGGCGUUGAGACGNGCGACGGACGACGACGAGGGAGGAGG